RNAcentral lists this ribosomal RNA (499 nucleotides) under uncultured bacterium. RNAcentral describes it as "partial 16S ribosomal RNA". It matches the Rfam family "Bacterial small subunit ribosomal RNA", at positions 28 to 507 of the family's 1533-position model. The record is from RNAcentral.
GACGAACGCUGGCGGCGUGCCUAAUACAUGCAAGUCGAGCGAAGUUUUUCUGGUGCUUGCACUAGAAAAACUUAGCGGCGAACGGGCGAGUAACACGUAAAGAACCUGCCUCAUAGACUGGGACAACUAUUGGACACGAUAGCUAAUACCGGAUAACAGUAUUUCUCGCAUGAGAGAUAUUUAAAAGUUGGUUAUGCUAACACUAUGAGAUGGCUUUGCGGUGCAUUAGCUAGUUGGUGGGGUAAAGGCCCACCAAGGCGACGAUGCAUAGCCGACCUGAGAGGGUGAUCGGCCACCCUGGGACUGAGAACCGGCCCAGACUCCUACGGGAGGCAGCAGUAGGGAAUCUUCCGCAAUGGGCGAAAGCCUGACGGAGCCACCCCGCGUGAGUUAAGAAGGAUUUCGGUUCGUAAAGCUCUGUUGUUAGGGAAGAAUGGAUAUGUAGUAACUAUACAUGUAAGAGACGGUACCUAACCAGAAAGCCACGGCUAACUACGUG